UGUGACAUAAGUGUGUGCAUGUAUAUGUGUAUGUGUGUGGUGUACAUAAUUAUAUCUAUGUGUGCAUGUAUGUGGACAUAAGUGUGUGCAUGUAUAUGUGUGUGUGUGGUGUACAUAAU
This 119-nucleotide microRNA precursor is filed under the name Mus musculus (house mouse). Its description in RNAcentral is "predicted gene, 55987 (ENSMUSG00002075264.1)". Lineage: Eukaryota; Metazoa; Chordata; Mammalia; Rodentia; Muridae. The record is from RNAcentral.